UGCCAGCAGCCGCGGUAAUACGGAGGGUGCAAACGUUGCUCGGAAUCAUUGGGCGUAAAGCGCACGUAGGCGGUCUUUUAAGUCGGAUGUGAAAGCCCUAGGCUUAACCAAGGAAGUGCAUUCGAAACUGAGAGACUUGAGUACAGGAGAGGGUCGCGGAAUUCUCGGUGUAGAGGUGAAAUUCGUAGAUAUCGGGAGGAACACCAGUGGCGAAGGCGGCGACCUGGACUGAUACUGACGCUGAGGUGCGAAAGCGUGGGGAGCAAACAGGAUUAGAUA
RNAcentral lists this ribosomal RNA (279 nucleotides) under uncultured bacterium. Its description in RNAcentral is "partial 16S ribosomal RNA". It matches the Rfam family "Bacterial small subunit ribosomal RNA", at positions 506 to 784 of the family's 1533-position model. The record is from RNAcentral.